GCGAGGGUGGCGGAACUGGUAGACGCGCCAGACUUAGGAUCUGGUACUUUCGAGUGUAGGGGUUCGAGUCCCCUCCUUCGCACCA
This 85-nucleotide transfer RNA is filed under the name Synergistaceae bacterium. RNAcentral describes it as "tRNA-Leu". It matches the Rfam family "tRNA". Rfam says of the family: Transfer RNA (tRNA) molecules are approximately 80 nucleotides in length. Their secondary structure includes four short double-helical elements and three loops (D, anti-codon, and T loops). Further hydrogen bonds mediate the characteristic L-shaped molecular structure. tRNAs have two regions of fundamental functional importance: the anti-codon, which is responsible for specific mRNA codon recognition, and the 3' end, to which the tRNAs corresponding amino acid is attached (by aminoacyl-tRNA synthetases). tRNAs cope with the degeneracy of the genetic code in two manners: having more than one tRNA (with a specific anti-codon) for a particular amino acid; and 'wobble' base-pairing, i.e. permitting non-standard base-pairing at the 3rd anti-codon position. Lineage: Bacteria; Thermotogati; Synergistota; Synergistia; Synergistales; Synergistaceae. The record is from RNAcentral.